RNAcentral lists this ribosomal RNA (253 nucleotides) under uncultured bacterium. RNAcentral's name for it is "partial 16S ribosomal RNA". It matches the Rfam family "Bacterial small subunit ribosomal RNA", at positions 524 to 776 of the family's 1533-position model. The record is from RNAcentral.
UACGGAGGAUCCAAGCGUUAUCCGGAUUUAUUGGGUUUAAAGGGUGCGUAGGCGGUUUGAUAAGUUAGAGGUGAAAUCCCGUGGCUCAACCACGGAACUGCCUCUAAUACUGUCGAGCUAGAGAAUAGUUGCUGUUGGCGGAAUGUGUGGUGUAGCGGUGAAAUGCUUAGAUAUCACACAGAACACCGAUUGCGAAGGCAGCUGACAAAGCUAUUUCUGACGCUCAGGCACGAAAGCGUGGGGAUCAAACAGG